Long non-coding RNA from Oncorhynchus keta (chum salmon), 1428 nucleotides. RefSeq lists it as uncharacterized. NCBI's taxonomy places the organism in Eukaryota, Metazoa, Chordata, Actinopteri, Salmoniformes, Salmonidae. The transcript has 5 exons. The record is from RefSeq and is a predicted model, not a curated record.
AGUGUAUAAGAGGUCAGGCUGGGCCUAAUAUAGAGUAUAAGAGGACAGGCUGGGCCUAAUAUAGUGUAUAAGAGGUCAGGCUGGGCCGAAUAUAGUGUAUAAGAGGUCAUACUGGGCCUAAUAUAGUGUAUAAGAGGUCAGGCUGGGCCUAAUAUAGAGUAUAAGAGGUCAGGCUGGGCCUAAUAUAGUGUAUAAGAGGUCAGGCUGGGCCUAAUAUAGUGUAUAAGAGGUCAGGCUGGGCCUAAUAUAGUGUAUAAGAGGUCAGGCUGGGCCUAAUAUAGUGUAUAAGAGGUCAGGCUGGGCCUAAUAUAGUGUAUAAGAGGUCAGGCUGGGCCUAAUAUAGUGUAUAAGAGGUCAGGCUGGGCCUAAUAUAGUGUAUAAGAGGUCAGGCUGGGCCUAAUAUAGUGUAUAAGAGGUCAGGCUGGGCCUAAUAUAGUGUAUAAGAGGUCAGGCUGGGCCUAAUAUAGUGUAUAAGAGGUCAGGCUGGGCCUAAUAUAGAGUAUAAGAGGACAGGCUGGGCCUAAUAUAGUGUAUAAGAGGUCAGGCUGGGCCGAAUAUAGUGUAUAAGAGGUCAUACUGGGCCUAAUAUAGUGUAUAAGAGGUCAGGCUGGGCCUAAUAUAGAGUAUAAGAGGACAGGCUGGGCCUAAUAUAGUGUAUAAGAGGACAGGCUGGGCCUAAUAUAGUGUAUAAGAGGACAGGCUGGGCCUAAUAUAGUGUAUAAGAGGACAGGCUGGGCCUAAUAUAGUGUAUAAGAGGUCAGGCUGGACCUAAUAUAGGGUUCAAGAGGUCAUACAAGAAGUUUUGUAGUGAUUCAUAUGUUGAUGAUGUAAAAAUUAUUUCCUGGUCUGUGGUGAGUAAUGAGGAGCAACCAGACACUGCUGGUCUGUGGUGUGUAAUGAGGAGCAACCAGACGCUGCUGGUCUGUGGUGUGUAAUGAGGAGCAACCAGACGCUGCUGGUCUGUGGUGUGUAAUGAGGACCAACCAGACGCUGCUGGUCUGUGGUGUGUAAUGAGGAGCAACCAGACGCUGCUGGUCUGUGGUGUGUAAUGAGGAGCAACCAGACGCUGCUGGUCUGUGGUGUGUAAUGAGGAGCAACCAGACGCUGCUGGUCUGUGGUGUGUAAUGAGGAGCAACCAGACGCUGCUGGUCUGUGGUGUGUAAUGAGGAGCAACCAGAUGCUGCUGGUCUGUGGUGUGUAAUGAGGAGCAACCAGACGCUGCUGGUCUGUGGUGUGUAAUGAGGAGCAACCAGACGCUGCUGGUCUGUGGUGUGUAAUGAGGAGCAACCAGACGCUGCUGGUCUGUGGUGUGUAAUGAGGAGCAACCAGACGCUGCUGGUCUGUGGUGUGUAAUGAGGAGCAACCAGACGCUGCUGGUCUGUGGUGUGUAAUGAGGAGCAACCAGAUGCUGCUGGUCUGUGGUGUGUA